Long non-coding RNA from Brassica napus (rape), 1362 nucleotides. RefSeq lists it as uncharacterized. Lineage: Eukaryota; Viridiplantae; Streptophyta; Magnoliopsida; Brassicales; Brassicaceae. The transcript has 2 exons. The record is from RefSeq and is a predicted model, not a curated record.
AUCCAUAAGUACAAUGUUUUGAAAACCGGACCGGACAUUGACUAGGCAUUGUAAAUGGAUUAAUGGUCAGACCGGUCCAACCGGUUCAACCGAGCUUUAAAUUUUAAUUUAAUUUUAGAUUAACUAACUAUAUAUAUAAUUAUAAAAUUACGUUGUAUAAAAUUUUAUAUUAUUGUUAGAAUCUAAAUAUCUAUCUAAAUAAUUUAUUUCUCAUUAUAUUUUAUAUUAUUUUAAAUGUUUUCAUUUUAUUUUUAUAUCAUAAAACAAUAUAAUAAGAGUUUAAAAGUGGUAAAGGGUUUGGAGAUUAAGAUUUAGGAUCUAGAUUUUAGGAUUUUAGGAUUUAUGUAUAAAAUAAUAAAUUCUAAUAUAUUUUUUAAAAAAUAUCUAUUUAAAUUAAAUGUAUCAUUCUUUAAAAGUAACUUAAUCUUUUUACUCUUUAAUGAAAUCUAUUUAAUAAUUUUUGUCUUUGAACUAUUUAGUUAUAGAAAACUUAUUUUGUAGUGUUUUAGAAGAUUUUCCCUUUUGAUAUUUACAGCUUUUCCCUUUUGAUUUAUAAAAAUAUCUAUUUAAAUUAAAUGUAUUAAAUGUAUUAUUCUUUUAGAAGAUUUUCCCUUUUGAUAUUACAUAAAAAGUUCCAUAAAAGCAAAGGAUUUCAAAAAUAGGAGUUCAAAAUAUAUAUUUACAGCUUAAUUAGCGGUUAAUGCCAUCAAUGCAAAUCUAGUUUACUUUUUUGUUUUAUCUUGAGCAUCAAGCUGAGAUUUUGCUUUUAAUAAAAUCUUAAAUAAAAAAUCAUUUUCGUAUAUGUUGAAGAUCCUUAUCUUUCCUUUUUUACACGAAACAAGUUGUAUUAUAAAAGCAUCCUCAGUGUGCAGUUUUUCUAAAGCGUUGAGAAGAUAAAAAACAUGGUCAACUCAAAAUUCGUUCUUUUGGCUUUCAUAGCUCUGUCUCUUUUUCUUUCCGGUGCUGAAACAAGAGAUACUGUGUGGUCUGGCUCUAAAUUAUCUUCAUUUUGUUGCAUCAGUCAGCCUCAAUUAGGAGCUUGUGAUACAAAACAACAGAAUGAUAGAUGUGAGAAGCUGUGCAUCCGUGGUUGUAGCCUAAACAAAGGCGGCGGCUGUCAACCUGUUCCUACUGGUUCUGUUUGUUCAUGUUACUGUUAAACUAGCGUCAUGAAAAAUUAUGCUCUUUUUUCUUUGAUUAUUUAUUAAUAAAACAUAUUCUUUUGUUAUGCUCCAUUCAGUGCCGUGGCUAGAGUAUAAGGGGCCCAAGGAAUAAUAAUCAAAUUUGAUUGUAGAUGAUAAUAUAAAUAGUGAUGUUGUGUAAUAGUAAUUUUAAUUAAUAUAAAAAUUAAAAUUAAUAAUU